AUGCUCCCUUUGGCAGCACAUAUACUGAAAUUGGAAUGAAACAGAGAAGAUUAGCAAGGCCCCCACACAAGGAUGGCUUGCAAAUUCAUGAAGCAUUCCAUAUUUCU
Small nuclear RNA from Trichechus manatus latirostris (Florida manatee), 107 nucleotides. Lineage: Eukaryota; Metazoa; Chordata; Mammalia; Sirenia; Trichechidae. The record is from RefSeq and is a predicted model, not a curated record.